Aplysia californica (California sea hare) is the source of this 319-nucleotide long non-coding RNA. RefSeq lists it as uncharacterized. NCBI's taxonomy places the organism in Eukaryota, Metazoa, Mollusca, Gastropoda, Aplysiida, Aplysiidae. The record is from RefSeq and is a predicted model, not a curated record. The transcript is spliced from 2 exons.
UCAAGGCGGGCGGUAGAUUCAGACUGCCUGUGUAUUGGAGUCAACUCUUGGUUGACCGGCGUUGUCUCGGGCGACAACUCAUCCUUUAUUGCUUCCUUGGACGGUGGAGUAUGCGAUGGAGAUCCUGGGAGUCACUCGGUGGCUCCUGAGUCUCACUGGGCUGAUAGUCUCCAAAGGAGAGAAAGUUGAAUACUGAAUACUUGUCCCUCUUCACCGUGUUUAGGCCCACAAUAUCGGACCUGAUGAAGAAAGAUGAGAAUUCAAAUGAAAAUAGAGCUCGCAGGGAAUAAAAUGCAUAAACGCUUUGCUUAACUCAAAA